RNAcentral lists this ribosomal RNA (458 nucleotides) under uncultured bacterium. RNAcentral describes it as "partial 16S ribosomal RNA". It matches the Rfam family "Bacterial small subunit ribosomal RNA", at positions 338 to 795 of the family's 1533-position model. The record is from RNAcentral.
CCUACGGGAGGCAGCAGUGAGGAAUAUUGGUCAAUGGGCGCAAGCCUGAACCAGCCAAGUCGCGUGAAGGAGUACUGCCCUAUGGGUUGUAAACCUCUUUUGUCGGGGAGCAACAGCCGGACGUGUCCGGCUGUGAGGGUACCCGAAGAAAAAGCAUCGGCUAACUCCGUGCCAGCAGCCGCGGUACUACGGAGGAUGCGAGCGUUAUCGGGAUUUAUUGGGUUUAAAGGGUGCGCAGGCGGAUUUUUAAGUAAGCGGUAAAAUCGUGGGGCUCAACCCCAUCCAGCCGUUGAAACUGGGGAUCUAGAGUGUGAGAGAGGUAGGCGGAAUGCGUGGUGUAGCGGUGAAAUGCAUAGAUAUCACGCAGAACCCCGAUGGCGAAGGCAGCAUACUGAUGCACAACUGACGCUCAGGCACGAAAGCGUGGGUAUCGAACAGGAUUAGAUACCCCGGUAGUC